RNAcentral lists this small nuclear RNA (108 nucleotides) under Castor canadensis (American beaver). The record is from RNAcentral. Lineage: Eukaryota; Metazoa; Chordata; Mammalia; Rodentia; Castoridae.
CUGCUCGCUUCGGCAGCACAUAUACUAAAAUUGGAACGAUACAGAGAAGACUAGCGCGGCCCCUGCGCAAAGAAUGACACGCAAAUUGGUGAAGCGUUCCAUAUUAAA